This is a long non-coding RNA of Gadus chalcogrammus (walleye pollock), 926 nucleotides long. RefSeq lists it as uncharacterized. The record is from RefSeq and is a predicted model, not a curated record. The transcript is spliced from 3 exons. Lineage: Eukaryota; Metazoa; Chordata; Actinopteri; Gadiformes; Gadidae.
CAGAUAUCGACUUUGCAUCUGCAAGAGCUAAGAAGAAGAGACUUGAUGAUGCUAUUUCUGGCUCAAGCCCUGAACAAAGCAAAUCUCCCUCCACAAAAAGGGUCUCCCCCUGAGAUUUAUCCCCUAGUCAGCAACCACCAGUCUCCCAAAGCCCAUCCUGGACUACCGAACACCAGACAGUCUGUCAGCCAGAGACCUGCAUGGUUUGUGUGAGCAGUUCAAGAUGCCAGAUCUGACCCCUGCUCCUAUAGUAGCCGUAGAGCGAGAGACCAGGAAGCAUGCAGCCUCAAGGAUAUGGUUCAGGCAGAGAGCAGGCCGGAUAACAGCGUCCAAGCUUAAACAAGCCAUUCGGACAAAUGCAGACAAGCCAGCAAAAAGCCUUAUCAAGGCAAUCUGUUAACCAGAAUCAAACAGAUUCUCUACUGCAGCUACAACGUAUGGAUGUAAGCAUGAGGCACAGGCACCGAAGGACUACGAAAAAAUUAUGAGAGUUACAUCACGGCUACUCUGUAGCAGAUUCUGGCCUUUGUCUCAAUGCAAAGUGGCCCUUCAUGGGAGCAUCACCAUAUGGGAUUGUUGUUUGCAGUUGUCACGGAACUGGAGUGUGUGAAAACAAGUGCCCACAUUGUCAUCAGGACAAGGAGAACAUCAGAGCUUGUGCGGGAGAAAAGGGAUUCUGCCUGGCGAAGGACGGUGACAAGAUAAAGCUGGACAGAUCACAUGCCUACUACUAUCAAAUUCAAGCACAGCUCUUUAUCUUGCAAGUAGACUACUGUGAUUUUAUUGUAUGGAACAAGAAUGACAUUUUUAUAGAGAGAAUUUUGCCUGACGUGGAGUUUUGGGAUAGCGUCAUCCCUAAGGAUGAAAGUUUUUCCGAAAUGUAUCCUCCCUGAAGUUUUGGCAAAGAAAUUCACCAAGCAAGUUUC